RNAcentral lists this long non-coding RNA (879 nucleotides) under Callithrix jacchus (white-tufted-ear marmoset). RNAcentral describes it as "lncRNA (ENSCJAG00000087154.1)". The record is from RNAcentral. Lineage: Eukaryota; Metazoa; Chordata; Mammalia; Primates; Cebidae.
GAGGGGACUCGUCUAUGAGGUUUGCAACCAAUGAUUAGGCUGUGGGAAGACAGGAGAGGUUCACAGAGAAGGUGGCCUUGGACCCAGGUCCCAAAGUUUGAUAGCUUUUAGGGGGCAGAAAAUACAAAAGUCAGAAGAAAUCAGGUACAGAAGCAAGGAGGUGUGACGGAGCACCUUCCAGAGACAGAGGGACAGCGCCAAACCCUGAGUGCGCAGAGGGGAAGCUGGAGAUGCCGAGGCCGGGCUGCAGAGGCCGCUGUUUGAGCAGCUCAGGAUUUGGGCCUUUACGGAUUACAAAGACGGAAUGCCGGUCUUGACUUGAUGACAGAUGUGUCUGCUUUGGCCGGCACGGCUCGUGUCUCCUGCCAUUUGCGCGCCUCCUACGUUGAUCCCGGCCACCAGCCCUGCUGAUUCUGUUACACCAGGCUCCUGAAGACAUUCGAGUUUUGGGUCCCUGCAAACAGGUGUCAGAAUUAAAAUCCAGGGAAGUUAAAUGAUUUGCCCAGAGUCACGAAGCAGAAAAUGGCAGUUGGACUUAGAAUGUGACUCAUCUCAAACCAAUGGAAGGCACAGCCAGACCACAGGAGUCAGGCCACUGUGAGGACGGUGAAGAGCCAUGACUCGAGCUUGCUAAUCAAGGGGGGUUACCUGCACCUUGGUUCAACCACCAACUGAAAAACAGGCAGCGAUGAAGAAAUCUGGUGGGUACAGGUGCUCACACUCAGGACCUGCAAGCUCUUCUCAGAGGUGGCAGUGCAGCCCAGUGCCCAGUCCACAUGGAGAGAGGAGCCCACCAGGCUGGAGUGCAGUGGCACAGUCACAGCUCACUUCGGCUGCAAACUCCUGGGCUCAAGUGAUCCUUCCAUCUCAGCCUCCUAC